This 486-nucleotide ribosomal RNA is filed under the name uncultured bacterium. Its description in RNAcentral is "partial 16S ribosomal RNA". It matches the Rfam family "Bacterial small subunit ribosomal RNA", at positions 28 to 507 of the family's 1533-position model. The record is from RNAcentral.
GACGAACGCUGGCGGCGUGCUUAACACAUGCAAGUCGAACGGAAAGACCUCUUUCGUGGUGUCCUCAUGUGGCGAACGGGCGAGUAACACGUACGUAACCUGCCCAUCUAUUUGGCUUAACUUCAGGCAAGUGGCCGUAAUACCUACCAGGAACUCCUUUUACAUGCAUGGGUCAGAAAUGUUUCGGCGGUUUGCGGUGGCCUCGCGGUUCAUCAGCUAGUUGGUUGGGUAUUGGCUUACCAAGGCUGUGACGCAUCGCCGACCUGAGAGGGUGAUCGGCCACACUGGAACUGAGACACGGUCCAGACUCCUACGGGAGGCAGCAGUAGGGAAUCUUCCGCAAUGGGCGGAAGCCUGACGGAGCGACGCCGCGUGAGUGAUGAAGGUCUUCGGAUCGUAAAACUCUGUUAUUAGGGAAGAACAUAUGUGUAAGUAACUGUGCACAUCUUGACGGUACCUAAUCAGAAAGCCACGGCUAACUACGUG